Molecule: ribosomal RNA, 253 nt
Filed under: uncultured bacterium
Lineage: Bacteria
Description: partial 16S ribosomal RNA
Rfam family: Bacterial small subunit ribosomal RNA
Source: RNAcentral
UACGAAGGGGGCUAGCGUUGCUCGGAAUUACUGGGCGUAAAGCGCACGUAGGCGGCUUUCUAAGUCGGGGGUGAAAUCCUGGAGCUCAACUCCAGAACUGCCUUCGAUACUGGAGAGCUUGAGACCGGAAGAGGUAAGUGGAACUGCGAGUGUAGAGGUGAAAUUCGUAGAUAUUCGCAAGAACACCAGUGGCGAAGGCGGCUUACUGGUCCGGUUCUGACGCUGAGGCGCGAAGGCGUGGGGAGCGAACGGG